CGGACGGGUGAGUAGUGUCUGGGAAACUGCCCGAUGGAGGGGGGUAACUACUGGAAACGGUAGCUAAUACCGCAUAACGUCGCAAGACCAAAGAGGGGGACCUUAGGGCCUCUUGCCAUCGGAUGUGCCCAGAUGGGAUUAGCUAGUAGGUGGGGUAACGGCUCACCUAGGCGACGAUCCCUAGCUGGUCUGAGAGGAUGACCAGCCACACUGGAACUGAGACACGGUCCAG
RNAcentral lists this ribosomal RNA (232 nucleotides) under uncultured bacterium. Its description in RNAcentral is "partial 16S ribosomal RNA". It matches the Rfam family "Bacterial small subunit ribosomal RNA", at positions 99 to 334 of the family's 1533-position model. The record is from RNAcentral.